UCCGAUGUCAUCCAAUGGUAGGAUGCGGGUCUCUGAAACCCGUCAUGUUCGUUCGAGUCGAGCCGCCGGAACCA
RNAcentral lists this transfer RNA (74 nucleotides) under uncultured archaeon. Its description in RNAcentral is "tRNA-Gln(ctg)". It matches the Rfam family "tRNA". From Rfam's summary of the family: Transfer RNA (tRNA) molecules are approximately 80 nucleotides in length. The record is from RNAcentral.